RNAcentral lists this long non-coding RNA (318 nucleotides) under Vitis vinifera (wine grape). Its description in RNAcentral is "long non-coding RNA (VVIN_LNC001077)". Lineage: Eukaryota; Viridiplantae; Streptophyta; Magnoliopsida; Vitales; Vitaceae. The record is from RNAcentral.
UCGAAUAGUUAGGGUAUGAUUUGAAGAAAUAAGGUCGAACAAUUAGGGUACAACUUUAAAGAAACAUAAAGGAGGUUGGACAAUCAGAGCGUAGCUCUAAAAAAACAUGGGAAGGUCGCAUAUUCAAGGCGUGACUCUAUGAAAACAUAAAGGAGGCUAAACAAUCAUGGCGUAGAUCUAAAGAGACAUGGGAAGGUUGGAUAGUCAAGGCACGACUCUAGGAAAUAAUAAAUGAGACUAGAUAGUCAAGGUGCGACUCUAAAGAAACAUGGGAAGGUCGAACAGUCAAGGUGCAACUCUUUGAGACAUAAAUAAGCC